GGGAGUGUGGCUGAGUGGUAGAGUGCUCAUCUCCUGAGUGUGAGGCCUUGAGUUCAAAUCCCAGUACUUACC
Molecule: transfer RNA, 72 nt
Filed under: Dipodomys ordii (Ord's kangaroo rat)
Lineage: Eukaryota; Metazoa; Chordata; Mammalia; Rodentia; Heteromyidae
Rfam family: tRNA
About the family: Transfer RNA (tRNA) molecules are approximately 80 nucleotides in length. Their secondary structure includes four short double-helical elements and three loops (D, anti-codon, and T loops). Further hydrogen bonds mediate the characteristic L-shaped molecular structure. tRNAs have two regions of fundamental functional importance: the anti-codon, which is responsible for specific mRNA codon recognition, and the 3' end, to which the tRNAs corresponding amino acid is attached (by aminoacyl-tRNA synthetases). tRNAs cope with the degeneracy of the genetic code in two manners: having more than one tRNA (with a specific anti-codon) for a particular amino acid; and 'wobble' base-pairing, i.e. permitting non-standard base-pairing at the 3rd anti-codon position.
Source: Rfam by way of RNAcentral